UGGGGAAUUUUGGACAAUGGGCGCAAGCCUGAUCCAGCAAUGCCGCGUGCAGGAUGAAGGCCUUCGGGUUGUAAACUGCUUUUGUACGGAACGAAAAGCCUCUCUCUAAUACAGGGGGGUGAUGACGGUACCGUAAGAAUAAGCACCGGCUAACUACGUGCCAGCAGCCGCGGUAAUACGUAGGGUGCAAGCGUUAAUCGGAAUUACUGGGCGUAAAGCGUGCGCAGGCGGUUUUGUAAGACAGUGGUGAAAUCCCCGGGCUCAACCUGGGAACUGCCAUUGUGACUGCAAGGCUGGAGUGCGGCAGAGGGGGAUGGAAUUCCGCGUGUAGCAGUGAAAUGCGUAGAUAUGCGGAGGAACACCGAUGGCGAAGGCAAUCCCCUGGGCCUGCACUGACGCUCAUGCACGAAAGCGUGGGGAGCAAACAGGAUUAGAUACCCUGGUAGUCCACGCCCUAAACGAUGUCAACUGGUUGUUGGGGAUUUAUUUCUUCAGUAACGAAGCUAACGCGUGAAGUUGACCGCCUGGGGGAGUA
This 535-nucleotide ribosomal RNA is filed under the name uncultured bacterium. RNAcentral describes it as "partial 16S ribosomal RNA". It matches the Rfam family "Bacterial small subunit ribosomal RNA", at positions 355 to 882 of the family's 1533-position model. The record is from RNAcentral.